Molecule: long non-coding RNA, 753 nt
Organism: Hippocampus comes (tiger tail seahorse)
Lineage: Eukaryota; Metazoa; Chordata; Actinopteri; Syngnathiformes; Syngnathidae
Exons: 3
Source: RefSeq, a predicted model, not a curated record
CUGAUCAUUCGAAUCAGGUGUGUUGAAGUCGAGAAGGCUCUAAAACAGGCAGGAUAUGGCUCUCGAGGAAGCGGAGGUCCCUACCCCUGCUGUACAAUAUGUUCCACUUGGAAAAGGUGGCAGCAGUUUGACCGGGAGAGUGACGUCAUGGAGCAGGUGGUCUGAAGUCAAAACCCGAGUGACGUCGCCUCGGCUAGCUCGGCGAUAGCUGUUGACGUUGGCCGCGCGAAAAUGGCCGUUUCCAGUCGACUCGACAAACAAGUCUCGAUAAAUGUACGCGUGUUUCUGACAAAAUUAAAUUUAGGCGGCUAUCCGCUCUCACUCGACAUCGCCCCCCCCCCACUCCUAACCUCCCACGUUCCUUAACCUAGCUACAUGCUAGCUUACCCUAGCGAGCCACGUUAGCACGUCGAGCUAACGAGCUACUGCCUAUUUUUCUGCAAGGGUUAUCAACGUCAUCGCCAAGUAGAUACGCGCGGGGUGGAUGCAGCAAGAAAGCCUGCAGUUGAGAGCUGCCUGCGUGAUGGUGGUUCGGGAGUCCCUGAACGCAUCGGCCAGGAAUGACACACAAAGCACACACAUCUGGAAUAGCUUGAGUGAGUGAUUUAUUUACAUCAUAUGUAGUGAUCUAUACAGCUCUAAUGUCGCCUGUUCGCAUAUUACUCCAUGUACCGUAUCUGCUGUUAUUGACAUAUUUCGUGCGCGCAUCAUAUUUUAUGUUUGAUAUACAGUGUAUAUCAAUUAUUUUAUAUA